This 447-nucleotide ribosomal RNA is filed under the name uncultured bacterium. Its description in RNAcentral is "bacterial SSU rRNA". It matches the Rfam family "Bacterial small subunit ribosomal RNA", at positions 335 to 801 of the family's 1533-position model. The record is from RNAcentral.
ACUCCUACGGGAGGCAGCAGUGGGAAUAUUGGACAAUGGGGGCACCCUGAUCCAGCCAUGCCGCGUGAGUGAAGAAGGCCCCUAGGGUCGUAAAGCUCUUUCAACUGUGAAGAUAAUGACGGUAGCAGUAGAAGAAACCCCGCAGCUACCCGUGCCAGCAGCCGCGGUAAUACGGAGGGGGUUAGCGUUGUUCGGAAUUACUGGGCGUAAAGCGCACGUAGGCGGACUAUUAAGUUAGAGGUGAAAUCCCAGGGCUCAACCCUGGAACUGCCUUUAAUACUGGUAGUCUUGAGUUCGAGAGAGGUGAGUGGAAUUCCGAGUGUAGAGGUGAAAUUCGUAGAUAUUCGGAGGAACACCAGUGGCGAAGGCGGCUCACUGGCUCGAUACUGACGCUGAGGUGCGAAAGUGUGGGGAGCAAACAGGAUUAGAUACCCUGGUAGCUACGAG